GACGAACGCUGGCGGCGUGCUUAACACAUGCAAGUCGAACGGAAAGGCCCGGCUUUUGUGGGGUGCUCGAGUGGCGAACGGGUGAGUAACAAGUGAGUAACCUGCCCUUGACUUUGGGAUAACUUCAGGAAACUGGGGCUAAUACCGGAUAGGAGCUCCUGCUGCAUGGUGGGGGUUGGAAAGUUUCGGCGGUUGGGGAUGGACUCGCGGCUUAUCAGCUUGUUGGUGGGGUAGUGGCUUACCAAGGCUUUGACGGGUAGCCGGCCUGAGAGGGUGACCGGCCACAUUGGGACUGGGAUACGGCCCAGACUCCUACGGGAGGCAGCAGUGGGGAAUAUUGCACAAUGGGCGGAAGCCUGAUGCAGCAACGCCGCGUGCGGGAUGACGGCCUUCGGGUUGUAAACCGCUUUCGCCUGUGACGAAGCGUGAGUGACGGUAAUGGGUAAAGAAGCACCGGCUAACUACGUG
This 468-nucleotide ribosomal RNA is filed under the name uncultured bacterium. Its description in RNAcentral is "partial 16S ribosomal RNA". It matches the Rfam family "Bacterial small subunit ribosomal RNA", at positions 28 to 507 of the family's 1533-position model. The record is from RNAcentral.